GAUGAAGAACGCAGCGAAAUGCGAUAAGUAAUGCGAAUUGCAGAAUUCCAGUGAGUCAUCGAAUCUUUGAACGCACAUUGCGCCCUUUGGUAUUCCGAAGGGCAUGCCUGUUCGAGCGUCAUUAUCACCCCUCAAGCCCUCGGCUUGGUGUUGGAAGGUUUGGUGGAGGCCCCCUCGGGGGCUCCUGCCCCUCCCAAAGACAAUGACGGCGGCCUCGUUGGACCCCCGGUACACUGAGUUCUUCACGGGACACGUAUCGGACACAUGGGUUUACGGGACACGGUCUGCCUCCCCUCAGGGAGAAUCUUUCUAAGGUUGACCUCGAAUCAGGUAGGGAUACCCGCUGAACUUAAGCAUAUCAAUAAGCGGAGGA
Molecule: unclassified non-coding RNA, 373 nt
Filed under: soil metagenome
Description: partial contains 5.8S ribosomal RNA, internal transcribed spacer 2, and large subunit ribosomal RNA
Rfam family: 5.8S ribosomal RNA (bases 1-121)
Source: RNAcentral